ACGGGUGCGUAACGCGUGGGAAUCUGCCCCUUGGUUCGGAAUAACAGUUGGAAACGACUGCUAAUACCGGAUGAUGACGUAAGUCCAAAGAUUUAUCGCCGAGGGAUGAGCCCGCGUAGGAUUAGGUAGUUGGUGUGGUAAAGGCGCACCAAGCCGACGAUCCUUAGCUGGUCUGAGAGGAUGAUCAGCCACACUGGGACUGAGACACGGCCCAGACUCCUACGGGAGGCAGCAGUGGGGAAUAUUGGACAAUGGGCGAAAGCCUGAUCCAGCAAUGCCGCGUGAGUGAUGAAGGCCUUAGGGUUGUAAAGCUCUUUUACCCGGGAUGAUAAUGACAGUACCGGGAGAAUAAGCUCCGGCUAACUCCGUGCCAGCAGCCGCGGUAAUACGGAGGGAGCUAGCGUUAUUCGGAAUUACUGGGCGUAAAGCGCACGCAGGCGGUCUGUUAAGUCAGAUGUGAAAUCCCCGGGCUUAACCUGGGAACUGCAUUUGAAACUGGCAGGCUUGAGUCUCGUAGAGGGGGGUAGAAUUCCAGGUGUAGCGGUGAAAUGCGUAGA
RNAcentral lists this ribosomal RNA (557 nucleotides) under uncultured bacterium. Its description in RNAcentral is "bacterial SSU rRNA". It matches the Rfam family "Bacterial small subunit ribosomal RNA", at positions 102 to 694 of the family's 1533-position model. The record is from RNAcentral.